CCUGGGUGCCAACCAGUCUCUCCACAGUGUGUGAGAGAGGGCGGGAAGGUGCAGAGUAGCCGGGUAUCUCUCGGCGGCAGGAAGAAGCCAGCAGGAAGUAGAGGCAUCAUUUGAGGAAUUUGUCAAGACUGGAGAAAUGGAAGGAGGGGAAGCCGACGGUCCAAGUUCACCUGCCCAGGAGCGUGCAGUCAUGGUGCGCAUGAGCAAAAGGAAGACUAGACUUGAUUGGUGGAGCGGUCUGGACUUCCCGUCCCAGCCAAUCCAGAUGCGUCCGAGGGGUGGGGCCUGGCCCUCACUGGCGGAAGCGGCGUUUGCGCGCGAGUUUCGUCGUGUGUCCGCGGUGCGCGCGAGUCGUUCUCGGCGCCAUGGAGUCGGGGCUGAUCCGGCGUUUAGCGGCGCGCUUGGGUAUCGCCGAGCCAGAUGUGCUGAGGAAAGCAGAGGAGUACUUGCGACUGUCCCAGGUGAACUGUAAUGGCCUGUCUGCACAUACCACGGAAACCAGCAAUGCAGUCAUGUGCCUGGACCUUGCAGCUUCCUGUAUGAAGUGCCCCUUGGACAGAGCUUAUUUAAUUAAACUUUCUGGUUUGAACAAGAAGAUGUAUCAGAGCUGUCUUAAAUCUUUUGAGUGUUUACUGGGCCUGAAAUCAAAUAUUGGAAUAAGAGACCUAGCUGUCCAGUUUAGCUGUACAGAAGCAGUGAACAUGGCUUCAAAGAUAUUGCAAAGCUAUGAAUCCAGUCUUCCACAAACACAGCAGUUGGAUCUCGACUUAUCCAGGCCGCUUUUCACCACUGCUGCAUUACUUUCAGCAUGCAAGAUUCUAAAGCUAAAGGUGGAUAAAAAUAAAAUGGUAGCCACAUCUGGUGUAAAAAAAGCCAUAUUUGAUCGACUAUGUAAACAAUUAGAGAAGAUUGGGCAGCAGGCUGAUAUAGAAGCUGGAGAUUUAGCUACUUCACCACAGAAGAAAAAGAAGACAAUGGCUGAACCUUUAGCAAAGGAAACAGAGAAGGUGGUAGAAAGCUCACAUAAACUGCCAAAAGAUGAAGAUCUGACACAGGAUUAUGAAGAAUGGAAAAGGAGAAUUUUGGAAAAUGCUGCCAAAGCACAAAAGGCUACAACAGAGUGAUUUCAGCUUCUCGACUACCUUGGUUUGCAAACUACCACCUGCCGCCUCAAUGAAGAUGUUACCCUUGUCAUCAGUUUGGGAGAGUCAUUGCUGUGACAAAAGCUGUCUACUCUAGUAGAAAAAAGCCAUAUGCUGAACUAUACUGCUCACCAGACGACAAACUCUCAAAUCAGACUUCCUGGGUUUACGACCCUGCUCAGCCACUUACUACCUGUCAAACCUUGAGCAAGUUAAUUAACUUCAUUCUACCUCAUCUAUAAAUAGGACUAAAAAUGACGUCUACUUCAUGGAAUAAUUUGGAGUUGCAUCUGAGCUGAUACAUGUAAAACAUUUAGCACAGUACCUGGUAUAAGUAAGUAUUUAGCAAGUGUUAAAAUAUAGAGAGAAAUUCACAUAUAAAAUGGUCUCACGUAAUGAAUUACACAUUAGCAGCAUAUUAAAAAGUCAGAUGGACUGAGGGUUAUUUUCUUUGACAUGCACAUACUGAAAAAUGUAACCUAUAAAUACUCCCUAUUUUAAAACUGUAAGAUAGGACCUUUGUGGAAGAUAAGUUGCUAGGAGCUCUGAGGCAUCAUGCCAGGUAUGAUCUUAACUAAAAUCAAGAAUACAUGGUCUAAUUAAAUAUUUCCAUAUAGAAUGUAAUAAAGAGACUACAUCCAAAUUUUAAAAACCUAUUCAGAAUGGUAUCAGCAAUACCAGUGUUUGCAUUUUAUCUGCUAUAUGUAAGGCAUAACACCUGCUGCAUAGACCUGGAGUGCUAAAAGAGUGAUUUCUCUUCGUCCCCUGUCCUUUUUAAUUCUAGAUUCUAAGCAGCUAAGGUGAAAGAAAUGUCACAGUUAAUGAUCCCAAUGCAGGCCUAAUGUCCAGCGCCCUAUGGUAGAGGGGAAUGAACAUGAGUUUUGAAUGCAAUUACAGUGCAUUUAAAUUCUGACUGUGCCACUUCUACCCUAUGGAAAUUUCAAGAUCGUAAAGAGCCUCAGUUUCCUCAUUUAUAAAGUAGAGAUAUUUUCUACCUUGUAAGGAUUAAAGUAGUAUUUCUAAAGUACCUGGCACUUAGAAGGCCUUCACUAAACAGUAGUUCUUGUUAUUACUUUGAUCUAAAAUGGAUAAGUGAGUUUUUUCCUCACUUAUUUAUUUAUGAAGGUUUUAUUUAUUUGAGAAAGAGUACAAGCAGCGGUGGGCGGCGGGGGGGGACAGGGGAGGAGCUGAGGGAGAAGGACAAGGACAAGCACACUCUUUGCGGAGCCCUGCAUUCAUGGGUCUCAGUCCCUCAACCCCAAGAUCAUGACCUGAGCCGAAAUCCAGAGUUGGACGCUUAACCAGCUGAGCCACCCAGGCGCCUCUUUUCCUCAUUUAUUUUAAGAAAGUGUAUAAUUUUUUUAUUUGGUGCCAGGAUUUAGAUUUCUGCUUUGAGUCAAAAGCAAUCUACUCGUUACCAAGUAAAAUUAGGCACAUUCACUUUUUUUUUAAUUAUUGUAAAAUGCACCUAACGUAAAAUUUACCAUCUUAACCAUUUUUAAGUGUACAGUUCAGUAGUGUUAAGUACAUUCACAUUGUUAUGCAACCGAUCUCCAGAGCUCUUUCAUCUUGCAUAGCUGACUGCAGCCAUUAAACAGCUCUCUGUACCUCCCUCCCCCGGCCCCUGGCAAUUACCGUACUGUUUAUGUCUGAAUUUGUAUUAUUUUUUUUUUAAGAUUUUAUUUAUUUGACAGAGAGAGACACAGCAAGGGAGGGAACACAAGCAGGGGGAGUGGGAGAGGAAGAAGCAGGCUUCCCACCGAGCAGGGAGCC
Molecule: RNA transcript, 2915 nt
Organism: Ailuropoda melanoleuca (giant panda)
Lineage: Eukaryota; Metazoa; Chordata; Mammalia; Carnivora; Ursidae
Gene: ORC6
Gene name: origin recognition complex subunit 6
Exons: 8
Source: RefSeq, a predicted model, not a curated record